This 376-nucleotide ribosomal RNA is filed under the name uncultured bacterium. RNAcentral's name for it is "bacterial SSU rRNA". It matches the Rfam family "Bacterial small subunit ribosomal RNA", at positions 523 to 898 of the family's 1533-position model. The record is from RNAcentral.
AUACGUAGGGGGCGAGCGUUGUCCGGAUUUAUUGGGCGUAAAGAGCGCGUAGGCGGCUCGUCAAGUCGUGCGUGAAAUACCCUGGCUCAACUGGGGGGAGUCGUGCGAUACUGGCGGGCUCGAGGUCGGAAGGGGGAAGUGGAAUUCCCGGUGUAGUGGUGGAAUGCGUAGAUAUCGGGAGGAACACCAGUGGCGAAGGCGGCUUCCUGGUCCGAUCCUGACGCUGAGGCGCGAAAGCGUGGGGAGCAAACUGGAUUAGAUACCCAGGUAGUCCACGCUGUAAACGAUGGGUGCUAGGUGUCGGGGGUAUCGACCCCCCGGUGCCGGAGUUAACGCAUUAAGCACCCCGCCUGGGGAGUACGGCCGCAAGGCUAAA